GUGCUUGCUUUAGCAGCACAUCUAUACUAAAAUUGGAAUGAUACAGAGAAGAUUAGCAUGGCUUCUGUUCAAGGAUGACAUGCAAAUUCAAGUGUUCCAUAUUUUU
Callithrix jacchus (white-tufted-ear marmoset) is the source of this 106-nucleotide small nuclear RNA. NCBI's taxonomy places the organism in Eukaryota, Metazoa, Chordata, Mammalia, Primates, Cebidae. The record is from Ensembl.